CAAGGGCACACGCAUACUCACACGCGCACCCUAAUUGAGAUAUCAUAUUACAAUGGUAACAAAUAUAUUAGUAUUUCUUACAUGCUGGCAGCUUAAGCAAGCACACUGCGCUAUUAACUUCAGUCAGAUGUAGUAAUCUGUCACAAGAGCGUGACCACUUCAGAUCACCAUAUAAAAGAGCGGGACCAGCAGCACACUUCAGAGGAAAGUUGAUUUUAUCCCUAAAUAAGAUGAUCCAUUUGACAUGCUCUAAAUGGACUAAUGAAAUAAUGUAGAACUCCUCUGCAACUCCGGGGAUUUUGUAAUUAACUGCAGAUUGUACAAAGUGUCAAACAUGUGAUUUAAGUAAAAUGUAGAGCAAUGGAACUCCAAGUCAUAUGCCUGAAUAAAGCAUUAACCUACAAGAAUCACAAGGGCUAAAAAUUCAGAACGCAGAAAAUCUACAUAUGCCAAGAAGGUCACUCACCAAUAACCAUGUGUACUUCCAUAUUGCGUA
RNAcentral lists this long non-coding RNA (496 nucleotides) under Triticum aestivum (bread wheat). RNAcentral describes it as "long non-coding RNA (TAES_LNC007965)". Lineage: Eukaryota; Viridiplantae; Streptophyta; Magnoliopsida; Poales; Poaceae. The record is from RNAcentral.